RNAcentral lists this ribosomal RNA (253 nucleotides) under uncultured bacterium. RNAcentral describes it as "partial 16S ribosomal RNA". It matches the Rfam family "Bacterial small subunit ribosomal RNA", at positions 524 to 776 of the family's 1533-position model. The record is from RNAcentral.
UACGAAGGGGGCUAGCGUUGCUCGGAAUCACUGGGCGUAAAGAGCGCGCAGGCGGUCGUUCAAGUCGCGUGUGAAAGCCCCCGGCUCAACUGGGGAGGGUCACGCGAUACUGAUCGACUCGAAGGCAGGAGAGGGUAGUGGAAUUCCCGGUGUAGUGGUGAAAUGCGUAGAUAUCGGGAGGAACACCAGUGGCGAAGGCGACUACCUGGCCUGUUCUUGACGCUGAGGCGCGAAAGCUAGGGGAGCAAACGGG